AAUUUUUAGAAGGAUAUCCGACAC
Molecule: small RNA, 24 nt
Filed under: Brassica napus (rape)
Lineage: Eukaryota; Viridiplantae; Streptophyta; Magnoliopsida; Brassicales; Brassicaceae
Description: PsRNA_49
Source: RNAcentral